RNAcentral lists this ribosomal RNA (634 nucleotides) under uncultured Phaeophyceae. RNAcentral describes it as "SSU rRNA". It matches the Rfam family "Eukaryotic small subunit ribosomal RNA", at positions 617 to 1247 of the family's 1831-position model. Lineage: Eukaryota; Phaeophyceae. The record is from RNAcentral.
CAUUAAAAAGCUCGUAGUGGAUUUGGGCGCGGUCGUCCGGCAGGGCUCCAUUACUGGGGCCGUUGUCUGGUUUUCGACCGCUCCCUUUUCUCGGUAGCGUGUCGCGGGCAUUAGAUUGUCUGCUUCUUCGCGCCCGUCGUUUACUGUGAAAAAAUUAGAGUGUUCAAAGCAGGCUUAGGCCGUUGGAUACAUUAGCAUGGAAUAAUGAGAUAGGGCCACGACGGUCUAUUUUGUUGGUUUGCACGUCGAGGUAAUGAUUAACAGGAACGGUUGGGGGUAUUCGUAUUCAAUUGUCAGAGGUGAAAUUCUUGGAUUUAUGGAAGACGAACUACUGCGAAAGCAUUUACCAAGGAUGUUUUCAUUAAUCAAGAACGAAAGUUAGGGGAUCGAAGAUGAUUAGAUACCAUCGUAGUCUUAACCAUAAACUAUGCCGACUAGGGAUUGGCGGUCGUUAAUUUACAGGACUCCGUCAGCACCUUCCGAGAAAUCAAAGUCUUUGGGUUCCGGGGGGAGUAUGGUCGCAAGGCUGAAACUUGAAACUGACGGAAGGGCACCACCAGGAGUGGAGCCUGCGGCUUAAUUUGACUCAACACGGGGAAACUUACCAGGUCCGGACAUAGUGAGGAUUGACAGA